UACGUAGGGUGCUAGCGUUGUUCGGAAUCAUUGGGCGUAAAGCGCGUGUAGGUGGCUAGUUAAGUCAGAUGUGAAAUCCCUGGGCUCAACCGAGGAAGUGCAUUUGAAACUAAUUAGCUAGAGAAUGGUAGAGGGCGGUGGAAUUCCGUGUGUAGAGGUGAAAUGCGCAGAUAUCAGGAGGAACACCGGUGGCGAAAGGCGCCACUCUGGGCCGGUACUGACGCUGAGGAGCGAAAGCGUGGGUAGCAAACAGG
RNAcentral lists this ribosomal RNA (254 nucleotides) under uncultured bacterium. RNAcentral describes it as "partial 16S ribosomal RNA". It matches the Rfam family "Bacterial small subunit ribosomal RNA", at positions 524 to 776 of the family's 1533-position model. The record is from RNAcentral.